Molecule: non-coding RNA, 3391 nt
Organism: Equus caballus (horse)
Lineage: Eukaryota; Metazoa; Chordata; Mammalia; Perissodactyla; Equidae
Source: RefSeq, a predicted model, not a curated record
CCGAACUGGUGAAACCCUGGGCGCCAAAGCAGAGCGCACAAACUUAACCACUCGGCCACAGGGCCGGCCCCCUACGGUUUUUCUAAUGAUGAAAUCAGGGUGGAGAUUUACACGUGCAACUUCUUAUGGCUUUGUUCCCCUCAACCCCUUGCUCACUCUGAUAGCUGUCUGGAAGGUUCAUCAUAAAGGUCAGACUCCCACAACAAAUCCUGCAUUUGGCUUCCAACCUCAAUAUUUUUAGGAUUUUCUCCUUUCUUUCUUUUUUGUUUCUUUGGGAGUACAGACUGACUAGCAUUUUAGUGCAGUUUAAGUCUCAGACCACUUCCUUGUUUUUCUUCUCUUUUGAAGCAAAGAAUGUGAUGAAAUCAUGCAGGAGAAUGCCCGGUAGAUUAUAGGAACUCUUUCCUAGUUUGCUUGAAUACAUUGUCCACCCCUUUCAGUAUGUUUGCAAAUUUACUCUAUUCUGAAGGUGGAGGUCAAGGAAUCAUUUCUAAAGUGACUCUAAAAAAGGACAGGAGACACAGAGAGGCCAUUUCAGAGGGUAAGGUGAGUCCAGAGAGAGGAAGCAGGGGUCAGGGCUUUGUGCCACUGGGUUUCUAAAGGAGAGAUGUCACAUCUUUAGGAAUUUCUGAUUCUUGCCUUGAAAUGACUGGCCUGGAAAUUUGAUCAGGCUCUUUCUUCUCUCACUCUCUUAAGGGCUACCCUUCUUUGGGAGCCCCAACAAAUGUUAAUUUGUACAGAAUCUAAGAGACUGGUAGAUUGCAAGAUUGGAUUUACUUUUCCCUGUAUGCAUGCUCAUUAUAAUGUAAUUUUGCAAUUUUCACACCAAAGGGUAGAGUCAUAGUCUGUUUUUCCUACCUUUGAUUCUGGGCUGCCCUGUGACUUGCUUUAACUAAUAGAAUGCAGCAGAAGUGAUGGUGUGCCAUUUCCGAGCCUAGCACAAGAGCUCAAGAGGUCUCGUACAUGGCUAUUUCUUCUUGAAACCCUGCCCAGAUACCCUGUGAAUAAGACCAGGGUAGUCUGCUGGAGGAUGAGCAACAAUGUGGAACAGAGGUAAGAUGUCUCAACAGAGGCCAUCUUCACUAGCCUGUCCUUGGCCAACUCAGCAGCUAAAAGGAGAUGAGUGAGUGAGAACAGGCAACAUCAGGGGAACCAUACAACUGAGCACAGCCUAAAUUGUUGACCAAAACAAUCAUGAGCUAAAGAAGUAGUGGUUGUUUCAAGCUACUAAGUUUUAGUAUGGUUUGUUAUGCAGCAAUAGCUAACUGAUAUACUGGCCUGGAAAUUUGACCAAAUUUUAUGCUUUCUAUUCUCUUUUGUUGCUGCCUCAACAAAUAUUUGUGUAUAAAGAAGACUUAGCAUUGUUGGUAAUCACCUCUGCUGCUCUUGGCAGAGUGAUCAUUGCUAGCGGAGACUAUCCUAAGUCAGUCCUUGAAGUCACCAUCAGGCUUCCUCCUUUUUGGUGAAAGAUGCAAACCACAACAGUCUGUCCUUUACUUUGCACGGAAUGUCCUGUCAUACCUCUGACCACUGGAACCCUAAGCAUUUUACUGAUUUAGCGAGCCCCUCAGUCUUCAUAGGGUUUCCCUCUCGCCCUCUGGGACACAUGUGUAAGGCCUCCAGUGUACUAGCUACUUCUUGCUCAUCUGGUCCAACUAGAAGAUGCUGUCAGUGUGACAUCCUGUGGGAUCCCCAGAUGUGCACAUCUCUUCAGACUAUAUUAUGACAGAGGGUAGAAGAGCUAACAUAGUCCUGGGGCAAAACUGGAAUAUUUUUGUCCUUUUAGUUUGAAUGCAAACAGUUUCUGAUUUUCUUUUCCACUAAAGAUAGAGAGGAACGUCUUCUCCAUAUCAAUAACUGUGUAGCCUAUACCCGAGACCUAUUAAUCUCCCCAGCAAAGACACCACUUCUGGCAUGGCAACAGCAAUGGGGACCACUACUUUGUUGAGUUUGAGUAGUCUGCUGUCAUUCUCUAGGAUCUGUCUGGUUUCUGCACGUCCAGAUUGAUCAAUUAAAAGGAGAUAUGAUGGGGACCACUACCCCUGCAUGCUUUAAAUCCUUGAAGGUGGUACUUAUUUCAGCUAUCCCCCCUGGAAAUUGAUAUUUUCUUUGAUUUAGUGCACAUGUGGGCAGGGUAGGAGGGAGAAGCAGCCUCAGAAGUUUGUACUUGGCUCUCCCCGUAAUGGUAGUUCUUAUCCCACAGGCCAAGGACUCAGUGUUAGUUGGUUGCUCUGACUACCAAUAAGUCUGUCCCAACUGUACAUUUGAGGAUGAGAGAAACAAUUGCCAACUGGGUCUGUAGAACUGGUAGAUACCUGCUGAGUUAGAUGUUGGUCCGAUGCCAUUAUUCCUGGUCCCCAUAUGCUCCCAUUUCAACAGAAGGGCCACAGUAAUGCUUCAGUCCUCCAGCUAUCAGUGUAAACUGAGACUCGGUCGGCAAUAUUCUGAGAUAUAUUUGGGUAUUCCCCUUGCCUUGUGUACAGUUACCUGAAUAAAUGGCUGAGGUCCUUUGGGGAAAGACUGGAGGAAUCAUUGCCAUGUUCAUUUGCCAUUGUGUUACAGGAUCUGUCCUCCUAGGGACUCAGUCUCCUUUUUAAUCAAUGAGGUGCUGUCUGAAAACUGGCUAAAGUCUGGAAACUAUGAAAGGGAUCAAGACCCUUUAUGGGGCUGACACUCCUUAGUCUCCUGGUCAUGCAUCAUUGGUUCUUUUGCAGGUGUAAGAAAGAAGGUGUAUGCCCUGGGGAAAUGAAAGAGACUCACAGCCCCUCUGCAAACCUGCAUCUCGGUAGCCUCUGUGGCUUCCCCACCUCACAGCGAGUUCGUUUCUUCUCCUCCACACCAGGGACAAUCAGUCCACUCUCCCUGUGGGCAGAUAUCUCAUCCCCGUGGGCAGUGUCGUGAAGAGCCUCUAGGCUGACGGAUGCAUUUGGGAACUCAUUCUAAAAUGAAGACGUGAUGGAGUUGAUGGGGAACACAUAGAACCGGGACAAGUCUCUGACUCAAGAAAUCAGUCUGCUGGGAAGGAUUCAUAGCAAUUGUGACUUUUUAAAAGCUGAGCUUGAAUAAUAAUUAUAAAAAGUUAUUGACAUAAUAAAAGAACAAAAGGACUUAUGUGAUGAGCAAUAGUUCCUGGCCUGCCCCUGCCCCUCACCCCCAGUUCUGCCCCUCCUCAUUCCCAAGGGCUUUACCUUUAACUGUUUCUGUUUUUGGUUACCUCUGGUGGUCAAGCCCAUGUUUCUAAAUAAAUACAGCACGCCGCCGUCAGUUCCUAUCGCCCCUUGCCCACCCCUCUUGCCCCUCCCAGUACAGCUGUAUCACUGCUUUUCCCUCUAAUGCUACUAUGGAAACUUCCUCUCUAGAUGAAUGAAAAUAAAACUGAAUCCUAACCUUA